ACGAGCAUGAAAUAUUGUCAGUAAAAAAUAUCUCUAUAUAUUUUAUUAUAUUUUAUAUAUAUUUAUUGUAUUUAUUAUUUAAAAAAUAUAUAUAUAUAUUUUUUUUAACCUGAUCUGCAAAUGACGACGUCUGGUCAUUUAAAAAAAUGCAAUAGGAGCCUUGAACACAAAACCUUGCAAUUUUUUUUACGUGAACGUGAGCAAUUUCCUACAGUCCCUGAAGGCCACACGUGCCAGUAAGAGGCCAGCGGGCGGGGCAUGCCGCGGGCAACGCCGCCCCCUCUCCCUUCCUGUUCUGGCGCUCUUCCGGGCGCUUCCGAGGCCGGGAGACGGGCGAGUCGCGGGAGUAAUAAAGAAGGCGAAUCAAUAGGGCAUGCGAGGAAGCCGAGGUGGCGCCAUUCAUCACGCCGCCCGGCCGGCUGACUGGCGUCGUCCAUCAUGCUCAAUGAGGCAGCAAAUAGGAAAAUGACUAUUUGGAUCAAACACAUCUGCACUCAUCCGCCCGCCUCUUUUAUUCCCAUUAACUGCGCCCCUAAAAUCCGCUUGUUGUUUUGCCCCCGCCACGUUUGGGAUUUUUUUAUUUAUUUUUUGCGCCGUAUUUAAAAGCAACUACCUGGGCCUUCAGUGGGGACUUAAGCCACCUAUUAAUAGCAACACUAUCCCUAACCCUAACGUCAACGCAAUGAAUACUAUCAAAAAAGGUUUGCUCUGGCUAACCAAUCAGAUAAGGGACCAAUGCUGACAUCAUCGAGGGCCACCGCUCUGGCCCUGUGAGGGCGAAUUAGAAAUGUGAUUGGUUAAAGAAACCAACUGCAUUGCUAAUGCAGUUUUUCCUUGCGUUGCGCCAGCCGCACGACUGAUUGCGAAGGUCCUGGGCAGAUUACACUGACAUGGCAACGCAUUGAGGCUAACAUCUGAUUGGACAAAAAUAUCUCAUACUCUAUCCAAUGUAAACCAAACAAAUACUUUUUAUUGGGGUGGUGGGGGGUGCUUAAAAGUUAUCCACCAUUAAUAUUCAAAUUUAAGAAACAAUCCAAUCUGAGCUUGAAGCUAAUGCUAACAUGCUAACUUGCAAUGUUUGGAGAUAUUACGAUAUGUGGCGACAUUAUGAACAUGUCCUCUUCUACAAGAAUGAAUUAGAUGACAGUUGCUGGAGACUAACCAACCAGAUUUCAAAUUUGAUGAGCUGGCGACCGAUGACGUCAGCGUUUUCCCGCCCUCCGAUUGGCUGGUCUUGAGCAAAACGCUUCAAGUCGCCAAAAACGUCUGCACACAUGAAUACGUUAAAUAAUCAGCAUCUCUGGCGCGUUCCAUUCAAAUGUUUGUUUUUUUGCCACGUGAUUCGAGAAAUGUUGAUCGUGAACUGCUGCAGUUGAUGAACAUCGUUAUGUUACGUCGCUUUUUUGGGUCGAUUGCCGCUUUGGAUCAUUGUGACGGCGGUGCGACUGGCUGCGGCCUUUGAGCCCUUAUGAAGUCAUCACACUUCUAUUUUAUGAAGGCUCGUUGAUAAAUAGCCCCCCCGGCGGCCCCCCAGCACCCCGCCGACACGCUCGGGCGGCCGCCGCCCUCAUUCCGCACUUGACUUGUUUACACAGCGGCGGCAGGCAGGAGGAUUUCCACGGAUUAAACAAAUCACCGGCCGACGGGAGACAUCCAUAACGCGCUAACGGGUCACUUACAAAUGUGUGUGUGUGUGUGUAUACUAUUAAGGGGGGCGGGGGGUCCACACGUGACCCCCCCCCCCCCAACCCCCUCAGCUUUAUCAUCCCAAAGAGGGCCAAGGAGGAGACAAACAUGCUUUUCUUAUCUUCCGACCACUUCGAAUGCUUUCCAACCGUUCAGCGAGCGCUCGCAAGACGUCAAAUGAUUUUGCUGAGUUUUAUUUCUGUAACAAGGGCUCAUCAAAGCUCAUCAAAUCUUUCUCUUCUUUUGUCUUCAAAAAAAAGUAUCUUAUUUGUCAUUCCUGUCAAUUACCUUUUUUUUUCUCUUUUUUUUUGGGUGCCAAUUUUUUUUCUUUUUUAAACAAAAGGUUUUGUUUUUUUUGCCAUUCAAAAAGCAAAUUGUGUUUUUUGUCGACAUUUGGACAUUUUUCUUAUUACAGUACUCGUCUUUUUGGUCCUUUUUAUUUUGAACAUUUCUUUUUUGAUAAUAAUAUAUAUAAUAAAAUAAAAUAAUGCUCUUCGGUCAUUAUUUUUCCCGUCGCUCAAGACGCUUCAAGUGAUAUGAAAAAUGUGUCAUUUGACAUUUGUUCCUGUACGUUUGAGUGUGCUUUUGUGUGUGUUGUAAUAUUGUGUAUAUGUGUCAGUUUGUGUGUGUUUGUCAGGCUGUCUUGUGUCCCUGACGUUCCAGGGAGAGGACGCCCCCCCCCCGUCAGAUGAUGUGGCUCUCGAUUUACCGGUGGAUCUCCGUUCCUCCCCUCACCUAUGGUCACGAGCUGUGGGUCGUGACCCAAAGAACAAGAUCAUCUCAGAGGAGAGCCACUGCUCCUCCACAUCGAGAGGAGCCAGAUGAGGAGGUCGGGGCAUCUGAUUCGGAUGCCUCUGGGUGAGGUGUUCCGGGUACGUCCCGCCGGGAGGAGACCCCGGGGACGACCCGGGACACGCCGGAGAGACUACGUCCUUGGGCUGGCCCGGGAACGCCUCGGGAUCCCCCCGGAAGAGCUGGACGAAGUGGCUGGGGAGAGGCAAGUCUGGGCGUCCCCGCCACCCGACCUCAGAUAAGCGGGAGAAAAAUGGAUGGAUGGAUGGAAACUUGGAAAUUUGGAAAAUAGCUCCCGAGAUGUCCUGAAUGAGAUAAAUAUGUUCAAGUUGGAA
Molecule: long non-coding RNA, 2813 nt
Organism: Phyllopteryx taeniolatus (common seadragon)
Lineage: Eukaryota; Metazoa; Chordata; Actinopteri; Syngnathiformes; Syngnathidae
Exons: 2
Source: RefSeq, a predicted model, not a curated record